GAGAGUUUGAUUAUGGCUCAGGAUGAACGCUAGCUAUAGGCUUAACACAUGCAAGUCGAGGGGAAACGGCAUUAUGUGCUUGCACAUUCUGGACGUCGACCGGCGCACGGGUGAGUAUCGCGUAUCCAACCUUCCCUCCACUCGGGGAUACCCCGUUGAAAGACGGCCUAAUACCCGAUGUUGUCCACAUAUGGCAUCUGACGUGGACCAAAGGUUCAUCGGUGGAGGAUGGGGAUGCGUCUGAUUAGCUUGUUGGUGCGGGUAACGGCCCACCAAGGCUACGAUCAGUAGGGGUUCUGAGAGGAAGGUCCCCCACAUUGGAACUGAGACACGGUCCAAACUCCUACGGGAGGCAGCAGUGAGGAAUAUUGGUCAAUGGACGUAAGUCUGAACCAGCCAAGUAGCGUGUAGGAUUGACGGCCCUAUGGGUUGUAAACUGCUUUUGUUGGGGAGUAAAGUGAGGCACGCGUGCCUUUUUGCAUUUACCCUUCGAAUAAGGACCGGCUAAUUCCGUGCCAGCAGCCGCGGUAAUACGGAAGGUCCAGGCGCUAUCCGGAUUUAUUGGGUUUAAAGGGAGUGUAGGCGGUCUGUUAAGCGUGUUGUGAAAUUUAGGUGCUCAACAUUUAACUUGCAGCGCGAACUGGCGGACUUGAGUGCACGCAACGUAUGCGGAAUUCAUGGUGUAGCGGUGAAAUGCUUAGAUAUCAUGACGAACUCCGAUUGCGAAGGCAGCGUACGGGAGUGUUACUGACGCUUAAGCUCGAAGUGCGGGUAUCGACAGGAUUAGAUACCCUGGUAGUCCGCACAGUAAACGAUGGAUGCCCGCUGUUAGCGCCUGGCGUUAGCGGCUAAGCGAAAGCAUUAAGCAUCCCACCUGGGGAGUACGCCGGCAACGGUGAAACUCAAGAAUUGACGGGGGCCGCACAAGCGGAGGAACAUGUGGUUUAUUCGAUGAUACGCGAGGACUUACCCGGGCUGAUGCAGACGCAGAUACAGAGAUGUGACUCCUCGGGCGUCUGUGAGUGCUGCAUGUGUCGUCAGCUCUGCUGAGGUUCGCUAUGCAUACAGCGCCACCCUUCCUAUGCCAUCAGGGAGGCUGGACUCUGGGAUACUCCACGCAAGUUAGAAAUGGUAGUCUAAUAGCGGCUUAUUCUGGUUAUACGGUUCUUGUGCGGCUACUAAAAGACGGUCCAUCCAAUGCGAUC
Molecule: ribosomal RNA, 1205 nt
Filed under: uncultured bacterium
Lineage: Bacteria
Description: bacterial SSU rRNA
Rfam family: Bacterial small subunit ribosomal RNA
Source: RNAcentral